AUUUUUUGUAUUUUUUUUUUUCAAUUGAUAACAAAAAUUUUAAAAUAUAUUUAAAUUAUUUUAUAUAAAAUAAAAAAUAUUCUAUGUGCUUUUUUUUUUAUUGAGAGAAAGGUAACAUGUUAGCUGUUUUAUUUUUUUUUUAAUAAAUAAAUUUAAUUGAAAAUGAGGCAGAGAGCGGAGGAUCUGCUGACGACGGAGAGAGAGAAAAAAAAAAAAGUCGGAGAGAGAUGGGGUGGAGGAUCUGUCAGACGAAGGUGGAAGGCAAAUAAGAGAUGGGCGGAGAAGAAACACAUGAAAAAGAAGUGAAAGGAGAAGAAAGAGGAGGAAGAGGAGAAACAACGUAAUUUUUACCCAAAAAGUACAACUUUUGUUCAAAGAGUACAACUUUCGUCCAAAAAAGUAUAAUUUUUUUUUUAUUAAAGAGUGCAAGUUUUUUUUUUAAAAUAGUACAAUAUUUUUCUGAAAUAGUGCAACGUUUCCUUAAAACAUUGCAACUUCAUCAUUCUUUUCUUUUUUCUCUAAUUCUUCAUUUUUAUUGUAGAAAAAAAGUAUUUUUCUUUAUGUUUUAUUCAUUAUUCUUUAUAUUUUUUACUUUCUGUAUUUUUUUCCCCUCGCUUCCCCUCUCACCCGUACAAAAAAGUAUUUUUCUUUAUGUUUUAUUCUUUAUUCUUUAUAUUUUUUUACUUUCUGUAUUUUUUUCCCCUCGGUUCCCCUCUCACCCGUACUUGCUUCGAGUUCUCCUUCUUCGACCCGGUGUCGGUGCGGGCGCCGGCGAAGGCGGAGGAAAAGGAUGCGGCGCUCUCCUCGUUACUAUGGUGGAGGGUCGCGGAGGCGACAGAGAUGCGUCAAAGAGAAAAAAAAAAGAACUAAAGAAAAAAGAAGAGGAAGAGGAUGUGGCGUUAUCCUCUUUACUAUUGUAAAAGAAGCGGGGAGACGGUGAAGGGAGGUCGGAGAAAAACAAAAGAGAGUCGUGGCGCUCGAUGGUGUCGGAGGCUAGGAAGGUGGAGGGAGAGUGUGCAGGCGAGGGCGAAGGCGAGCGGGACAGAGGCGAGGCGGGCCGCUUCCGCUCCCACUACCUUCUUCUGAGAGAAAGAAGAAAAAAAACGAGAGAAAAAAAAGAAAGAGAAAAGAAGAAAAAAGGGGUAUUUUGGUUAGUUUUCUGAAAAUUCGGCUCGAAAAUGCAAAAUCGAAAAUAGUGGCCUACUUUUGCAAAAACUAAAAACUAGUAGAUUUUACCGACCGUCCCUAGGGCAUUUGUGGUUGCCCGUAAGUGAAACAAUAAAAGUGGUAUUUUGGCAAAGUAAAAUUAUUUCGAUUGUUUGGAUUAUAAGUGACUUUUGAAAAGUGAACCCAUGAAGUGGAUUAUAACUAAAAUUUACUUUUUUGACUUCGGCAAAAAAAUUUUGAAGUCGUUGAAAGUGGGCCGCCUACUCCACGCGACUUAGGAACCGCAUCCAAAAAUCUUCUUCCAUACAUAUACAAAAAAAAAAAAAACCCACCGUAUCUUUACAAAAAAAAUACCAACACAUCUUAAAAAAAAAAAACAAAGAAAGAUACGUGCCUUAUUCCAUACCAUUUACAAAAAAAAGAAAAAGAAAAAAAAAACUACGCAUCUAAAAAAAAUCAUUUUCUUUUUUUCAUUUUGUAUAUAAAACCAAACAAUAGAAGUCAUAAAAACUGUAUUUUUUUCUUUCACUUUUUUGAAACCAAAUACUUAAACUCAAAAAUGACUUUUAUAAAAGUCACUUUUUGAAAAAUGACUUUUUUUUUACUUCGAUCACUUAUGGACAAUCAAACAUGCCCUUAGAGCAAGUGGCAAAAGGCUUGGUAGUUGAUACCCGAGGUCCCAAAUUCGAAUUCUAGUUGAUUCAUAUUUUCUAAGUUUAUUUCAAAAUGGAAUAAACGAAGCGGGUAGCAUGCUACCUAUCUGUCUCAAAAGAAAAACUAGUGGAUUUUUUAUGCAAAUUGGCCUUCUUUUUAUCAGUAGCAUGCUAGCUAUUUUUUUAAAAUGAUAAAUUUAAUUAAAAAUAUAAAUUAAUUAUGCUUGAAACUUGAGAUGUCAGAUACCAACAAGUGCACUAGAGACGGACAAUAUAGAAAGUACAUUUUACAUCAUAUUAUCUAAAGAUUUAAGUUUUUAAUAAAAUUUAUAUUAAAAAAUAAUUAAGAAGAUAAAUAAACAAAUGUGAACCUUUGACAUACUAGGAUGUAAGAUUAACACCUCAAUUAUACGCGUGUAGAUAAUAUUGCGCUAAUAAAAUAUAUGCUAGUGCUAGUAUAACAUUAAAAUUUAUGGAGGAUUUCUUACAUCCAAUAUAUGUCCAGGUAAAAAAAAUUAUAUAUACAUCAGUAGCAACAAAAAACUUCUUUAAAAAAAAUUUGAGUAAUUUCAUAAUUUCGAGAAAUUUCGUAAAACUACAUUAUUAUUCAAUGUAUAUUAAAAAAACAAAUUAGUAAGUUGGAAAUAAUAUCUAAAGUUUAACUAAGAAUGUCGUUUCUUCCUCCUGGCCCACCUUCUCCUUGUCUAAUGCCGGCUCGUCCUUGAACAAAUAACCUCCUCCACCUUGUCUAAUGUCAGCUCAUCCUUGAACAAAUACUUAAAAAUUAGUGUUCAAUAUGCAAAAAUAUAGAUAAAUAAAUAAAUUAAUCCAUAUGCAAAUAAAUCGAACAAAUAUUAUAUAUGAAUCAACCAAAUAAAUAAAAUUAAUUGUCCAAUUCAUACGGCCUAAAUUAUGAUGAAUUUUUUCUACCCGCUUCAUUUAUUUUGUUCUUAAGAAAUAAACUUAGUGAGAAAUUUGAACCAACUAUGAUUUGAACUUGAGAUCUCGGAUAUUAAUUAUUAAAUUUUUUGCCACUUGCUAGGGAUGGACGGUCAUUACGAUGAAAAUUAAACUUGAAUGAAUGCUUAAGUAUGGUUGAUAGGCCAUCUCCCUCACAGGAAAAGAGUACACGCAGACAUGGCAAGCCCAAGCCCAAGCGGAAGUUGGUCCGGAACCGGCCGAAUACUUUUCAGAUCAAGGCCCCAGAAUCAAAUCUGCUUUGUACUUCAUCUGUUGCAAUUUAGUCUAUAAUUUUUGGCAAACUCUAGAGUGGUACAUGGAGCAUAUAUAAAAACCUGCAAGGAAUUUAUACAGUUUAUAGUGGAAUUUACAGAAGCUUGUUCCCCAAGGACUUUUUUAUAAAAUGACCCUCCAAAAUUUUAAAUUUUAAAAAUAACUUUGUCAAAAUUUUAUUUGGAAAAGUGACUCUCCUUUUGCCACGAGGACGCAACGUCGGACUUUUACUAUUCACGGUCUUCAUUAUAUAUAUGUAAAGGUGGUGAAUGAUUCACCGCCUUUAGUACAAAAUAUUCCAAACCCAUCGAAAUUUGUCUAAGCCCUAGAGUGAAACAUAGAUAAGUUGGUGGGUUUCAAAAAAUUUGCAUUAAAGACGGUGAAUGAUUCACUGUCUUCAUAAUACAUAUGUGAAGGCGGUGAAUGAUUCACCGCCUUCAUAAUAAAAUUCUGACGUGGCGAAAGGAGGAUUACUUUUCCAAAUAAAAUUUUGAAAUGAUCACUUUCCAAAUUUCAAAAUUUUGGAGAAUCAUUUUAUAAAAAAGUCCGUUCCCCAAUGUCAUCUUCCAUCUUCCUUCUCUCUCUUUCUCUCUCUCUCUCUUUCUCUCUCUUCUCCCUAAUUCUCUCUCAGUUCUCCCGAGUUCUCCCAAUCUAUUUUUUGAGUAUAAUCCAAUUUAAUCACCGAUCGCUCUCAUCGUUGUCCCAACCUCAUCUUCAUCACUGGUGGGUGGCGACUCAUCCAGUUCAUAAAAUCGUAGUACAGGAAACAAGCGAAAAGAAAAGAUCAAAUUAGAAAAUUUACCCAAAAGCAUCAUAAAACCCAGGACUUCUCAAGAAGUAACAUAAAACCCCACCGUAGUAAUGCUUCUAACGAAAGGUACCUAAUCAGGAUAAAGAGAAUGUAGGUAAUGUUUGUGUAACGCCCCAACAUCCCUACGUCGGAUAUAAAAAUAAUUCUAAUUAGAAUAUAUGAGGCCUCAAACACGUUAGUAAUAAUAACCGAGUUUAAACAUUUUGGGCCGGUUGUGUGGGUCCAACGAAUUGUUAUAGAAGUCUGCGAGGACGUGAGGGUGUCCCACAUCGGAUGGAAAAAUUUAUUAUACCUAGUAGGGUUAGGUCAUUACAAUUAUAUAUGAGAAUUAAUUUGAUUCUAGUUGAAAUUCAAUUGCUAGCUUCAUCUUUUGAUUCUUGAAUUUAGUGAAAACUUUUGUAAUUAUUAUUUUGCCUAUUUUCUCUGUCAUUCUCGCUAGCAAUAAUAAAUCGUUGAGCUUAAAUCACUGACCCAAAAUACUUAAACCUAAUUAUUAUUACUAGCAUACAAGGCUUCAUAUAAUCCAAUCAGAAUUAUUACUUGAUUAUUAUUACUAGCAUGUAAGACUUCAUAAUAUAAUUCAAUCAGAAUUAUUUUUUCACCCGAUGUGAGACUAUUGAGGCAUUACAUUUAGUAUAUAUUCUGAAAUAAAAUUAAAAUAAUUAAUAAAUUCAAAAUAUUUCAUAAUUGAAAAUUUAUCUGUCUUACUUUUCAAUAUAAUAUCUUGCUUCUAGAGAAUUCUAUAUCUCUCUUAGUGAUUAGAUCAAUGUAAAUAAGUUAUAUAAAUUAUCUCACAAAGUAUUGAGACCAUAAUUUACUUGAUCUCCGCUUAUAUUCCUUCUGUAGAGAGAGAGCGAGUCGAACGGAGGAAGUGAGAGAAGUCCGAGAAGGAGGAAGAGUGAGAUCACAGUGGAGACACGUUGAGGAAGACCAGAGUUUGGAUUGCAGAAGAGGGAUAAGCUAUUAUGAAAGUCGAAUCGGACUAUUGGGGUUUCCUGGUUUAGCAGGAUCGAACUAGGAUCUCUCCGCUUAAACUUUUUUUUUAUUUUGAAAAAUUCGAAACUUAAACCGAACCAAACCGGAACCUAACCUGCUCUUCCAAGAAACCGAAAAUGUUUUGCUUCCGUUCAAGAUAAUCGGUGUUUUUUUUUUGGCUCAAGUGAGAGUUUUACAUUGGCUUAAUUACACUAUGCUACUACCAAAUUACCUGUGACACACGAAUUUUAAAUUUUUUUAUGCUAUUAAUUUAUACUAGUGUAGUGACCCGCGCAAUGCGGCGGGUAGAUAUUAAUAUAGUCAAUUAUAUAUGCUUAUCCUUCUCCUUUUAAAGAACCACUAAAAAAAAAAUUGGUUGAAGUAGACCGGAUUAAAGAGGAAAAAAUCCGGUUCAACAGGAAAAAAGGGAUUAGGAAUAACUGAUAGAUGGAUCCUAUAGAUUAGGGUAAAUACGGCACGUGGCAAGAGGUAAUGGGGAUUAAUAGAGUUUAAUAGAUAAGAUUCUAUAAAAUUAAUAUAUUUUUUGCCCCUUAAAAAUAUAUAAUUUUUUUAUUAUUUUUCAAGUUUGUUAGCUGGCAUUAACUUUUAAAAGAAAACUAUCACAAAAAAGAAGUAUUUCGAAUUGCAUUUCUUAUGAAUCUUAGAUGAAAAGUAAAAAACAGUGAUAAAAGAAAAAAAAAUACUCUAAGAAAAAAUGAUUUUUUUGGAGUGAAUUUACAAAAUAAAGUUAGUUCGGAAAAUAAAAGAAAACUCAAGAGAAAAGAGUAAACUUAUACAUAUCUUUAGUUUUAUCUAAUUGAUCAAUUUCUAAGCAAAAAAAUGAAUAUAUAAGAAGAGAAAAAAAUUAAAAUUAAAAAACUAAAAAUAAAAGUAGAAUAUAAAAUGUAGGCCGUAUAAAACGGAACAACGAUAAAAGAAAAAAGGUGAAGCAUCCAAAAAUAAUAAUUCAGAAAUUAAUAAGAAAACUUUAUGGCCCUAUUUGGCAACAAGAUGAAGAUAGAAUACGGUUUUUUAUUCUUCAAAAUAUGCCAACCUGUGUAAAAAUUGACAGGACUAAAUAAUCACGAUCAAAGCGGGUAAUCCAUGCUAGUUCUAGAAUUACCCGUUAAGCACUAUUCUCCAACACCCCUAGAAUUGGCGUGUUCUGCAAUUUAUUCCAAGGGCAUCUAUUGGAAAUUAGUGCCUCGCAUCAUGCGCUUGCCUAUUUCAUACUUAUCGCCUCCCUAAAAUGGCUCUUCAUCUCUCGCUCCCUCUUUACUGCCUGAACACGUCUUCAUCUCUCUCCUUCCUCUUUACUACAACUUGCUACCUAACCCUAAUAACAGAGAGAGAAGGUUCGUCUCUGUCUUCUUUUCCCGCCCUCUCUUUCUUUCCUUUUUCUUUAAUCUAUUUUACUCCCUAACCCUAACCUAUCUAGAAAUCUUGGUCACUCCCUUCCAUUUACUCCACCUCCGUUGCUAUAUCGACUUCUCUUCCCUAGGAAGCAAGUGCUUUCUCUUUCCUUUUUAUCCUAGCUCCUUGCUUCGACUUCACGUCUUUCCUAGGUUGUAUCUUCAUCAUCGAUCAUAUUUACUCUAUAUUUUAUCAACUGCAAUUGCGUGAUCAUCGUGUGUGUCUAAAAACCUCCAUUAAAUGAGGAGGAAUUGUAUUUGGAGAUCUUCUUGAGUCUCCAUUUUACGUACCAAAUAUGAAGAACAAUUCGUGUUGCAGAUCGUUCAGUAAUCAAGGAGAUCCCCCUUGAUAAGAGAGCAGUAAUUGUUGGCUCUGGAGGAAAAGUAUUUAACUAUAUAGAGAAUAAGUAAAGGAGGCUAUAAUAAACAAGAGAAAAGAGUCUUAAUCAUAUAAAAAUUAUAUAAUCGUGAUUGGAUUUCAAUUGAUCUUAUGAUUACAAUGAAGGAGAAAAACUCCUUUUAUAGCCUUCAAUUGUGAGAGUUUUAGAUCUAAAUUUUCAUAACUUACAAUUAAUAGCUUUAAGAGUUUCUUAUUCAAUAUGUAACUCUAAAAAUUACUAAUUCCAUAUAUGAUAAUUUAUUCUUGAGAAAGUGCAUUAACUUCCAACACUCCCCCUUAAUGCACUUUCUUCACAACUCCAAUUAGCUCACGCAUGUAGAAAAACUUUUCUCUAGUCAAAGCUUUGGUGAAGAUAUCCGCCAAUUGCUCUGUAGUUUUGCAGUACUUCAAUUUAAUUUGUCCGUUUUCAAUAGCUUCUCUGAUGAAGUGGUAUUUGAUAGCUAUAUGUUUGGUUCCUUCAUGAUUAAUCGGAUUCUUCCCCAUUGCUAUGGCUGAUUUGCUAUCGCAAUACAAUGUAAUAGCUUCUUGCUUUUCACCAACAUCUUCAAGAAUUCUUCGCAACCAUAUCGCAUGUGAUGACGCCUUUGCUGCUGCGACAUAUUCGGCUUCGGCUGAUGAAAGCGCCACAAUUUUCUGUUUCUUCGAUGCCCAUGAGCAUAUACUAGAGCCAAAAAUGAAUGCAUAGCCAGAUGUACUCUUCAUGUCAUCAUGACAUCCAGCCCAGUCACUAUCGGUAUACCCGAUCAAUCUUGAAUCAUUCGUAACUUUGUAUAGUAUACCAUAAUCAAGCGUCCCCUGCAAAUAUCUCAAAACUCUUUUAGCAGUACCAAAAUGAAUUUGACUUGGGUUUUGCAUGUACCUGGAUAGUAAGUUUGCAGAAUACAUAAUAUCCGGUCUAGUAGCCGUUAGGUACAACAAACUACCAACAAGGCUUCUGUAUGUAGAGGCAUCUAUUUUUUCGGCUCCAUCAUCUUUCUUCAACUUCUCAUUUGGUACAAGUGGAAUAGCCACAGUUUUGCAUCCAUUCAUUUUAAAUUUCUUCAAAAUAUUCUCCGCAUAUUUUUUUGAGAGAUAAAUAUUCCAUGUUCAUCCUGCAAAACUUCAAUUCCCAAAAAAUAAUGUAGCAAUCCAAGAUCACUCAUCUCAUACAUUUUCAUCAUUUCCUUCUUGAAAUCUUCAAGCAUCUUCUUAUUAUUCCCCAUAAAUAUAAGAUCAUCGACAUAUAAUGAAAUUAUGAGUAUAUCCGAUCCUUCUAUUUUGGUAUACAAUGUAGCCUCACUUUUGCUCUUCUCAAAUCCUUUUUCCAAAAAAUAUUUAUCUAUUUGACUAUACCAAGCUCUUGGUGCUUGUUUAAGGCCAUACAAUGCCUUAUGUAAUUUAUAAACUUUAUUUUCUGCACCUUUUAUUAGAAAACCUUGAGGUUGUUCUAUAUAAAUAUCCUCAUCUAGAAUCCCGUUUAGAAAAGCUGAUUUCACGUCAAGUUGAUAAAUUUUCCAUUUCUUUUGUGCAGCUAGAGCAAUUAAUGUUCUUAUAGUUUCUAAUCUUGCAACUGGGGCAAAAGUUUCAAAAUAGUCGAUACCUGGCUUUUGUGUGAACCCUCUCGCAACGAGUCUAGCUUUAUACUUCUGGAUAGUACCAUCUGGGUUGAGCUUUGUUUUAUAAAUCCAUUUGACUCCAACAAUGUCUCUGUCUUUAGGACAAUCAACUAGUUCCCAUGUAUCGUUUUUCUCUAUCAUACGUAUCUCCUCUUGCAUAGCUUUUACCCAGACGCCAUACUUUUCUGCUUCUUCAAAAUUUUCUGGUUCUGUAACACAAAAAUUGCAUGAUUCAUAAAUAUCUCGUAAACUUCUUACCCUCCGUAUGCCAGAUCUUGGUGAAGAUGAUCCUUCACUUGAGUUUGAACUGGAGCUUGAGCUCGAACUUGAGCUUGAGCUAGGCGAUGUUUGUGGAGUUCUCGGUUGUUCUUCUUCUCCUCCUUGAACAUUCGAUGGUUCCGACUCUUCUAUGUUAACAAGUGGUAUUUUUUCGACCUUUUGCUUAAUCCAAUUCCAAGAAGAUUUUUCAUCAAAAACAACAUCUCGGCUAAUAAUUAAUUUUUUGCUUUCAAUGUCAUAGAGUCGAUAACCUUUGGUACUAUUACUAUAACCAACAAAUACGCAUUUUGCACUUUUAUCAUCAAAUUGUUUUCUUCUCUCUACAGGGAUAUGAGCAUAACACAUGCAUCCAAAAAUUUUUAAAUGGCUUACCGUGGGUUUUGUCCCUGUCCAAGCUUCAAGUGGUGUUUUAUUCUUUACUGCAUGUGUAGGGCAUCUAUUCUGAAUGUAAACAGCUGUAUUUACAGCUUCUGCCCAAAAUUCAUUAGGAAGCCCUUUCUCUUUAAGCAUCGAUCUUGCCAUCUCAACUAUUGUUCUAUUCUUUCUUUCGGCGAUGCCAUUUUGUUGUGGGCUAUAUGCUGCUGUUAAUUGCCUAUGGAUGCCUUCAUCUUCACAGAACUUGUCAAAAUUCUUUGAAGUGUAUUCACCUCCUCUGUCACUCCUCAAAAUUUUAAUAGCAUAUCCACUUUGUUUUUCAACAUAGACCUUGAACUUCUUGAAAACAUCAAAGGCUUCACUUUUUUCUUUAAGAAAAUAAACCCACGUCAUUCUAGUAUAAUCAUCAAUAAAAAUAAUAAAGUACCUAUUCUGGCUGAGUGAUGCCGUCUGCAUCUUCCCGCAUAUAUCUGUGUGAACAAGCUCCAACGGUGCCUUCGCUCUCCAUGCUCGAUCUUUAGGAAAGGAAGAGCGAUGUUGUUUUCCUAAAACACAUCCUUCACAAAUUUCGUUGUUUGGCAAAAGUUCGGGCAAACCAUAUACCAUUUUCUGUAGCAAUUUCAAUCCUUCAAAAUUGUAAUGGCCAAAUCUCUUAUGCCAUAACCAUGAUUCUUCCAUCACAUUAUUUUUUAAUGCAAGAUUUGUAGCAUAAUAAAAUUCAAUAGGAAAAUUUCUAUUUUCCUCCAUUUUGAUUUUUGCAAUCAUUUGAUUUUGAUUUUUCUUAUCAUAAAUCCUGCAUGCGUUAUCUUCAAAGUGCACACUGUAGCCAUUCUGGACUAAUUGUCCAACACUAAGCAAAUUUUGAGCUAGAUCAGGCACAAGUAAAACAUCUUUUAUAUACUUAACCCCUUUCUUCGUUUCAAUAGGUAUGGUGUCUUUUCCUUUUGCCUGCACCACUGCGCCAUUUCCCAUACGUACUUUUGACACCACAGUGGCAUCCAUGUCAAGGAAUAAUUUUUCGUUCCCAGAUAUAUGGUUAUUGCAGCCACUAUCAAGAUACCAGAUGCUCACUUUCUCUUCUGAAGCAGACUGGCAUGCAUAAAAUAAGUUUCCUUCAUCUUUGUUUUCUUCAAGAAAAUUUACUUGAUCAUUUCUUUUGAAUCUACAAUAUUUUUCUAUAUGGCCAUAUUUUUUGCAAUGAUGGCAUUGCGGCUUUCUACGAAGCCAACAAUUAGAAGUAACAUAAUUCGACUUCUUGCAUAUUCUGCAAAAUGGUUUGGGGUUUUCUAGAUUCAUACUUUUCUCCUGAUCUUUAUCUUCUUUCCUUUCUAUGCUUUGAUCUUCCUCUUUUCUCAAACCUCCUUUCCAUGAAUGCUUUCUUGAAUAAUUCUGUUGGGACCUAAAUGAUAAUUUCGAUUGGAAUGCACUUUCGACAGCUUGGUCAGAAUGCCGUAACUUUCUUUGUUCAUGUGAAAGAAGAGAACCCAUUAGUUCUUGAAUAAAUAAUGUAGAAAUAUCUUUAGCCUCUUCUAUAGCUGCAACAACAUAAUCAUAUUUUUCUGGCAAACUUAUUAAGAUUUUCUCAACUAUCUUUUGAUCGGAAAUAUCUUCGCCAUACGACUUCAUUUGGUUGACAAUCUGUAUAACUUUAGAAAAGUAAUCUUUCAUAGAAUCAUUUUCUUUCAUUUUUAGAUUUUCCAGUUCUCUUCUUAAAGACUGAAGUUUGAUACUUUUUACCUUUGCAUUUCCUUGAAACUCUUGUUGUAGGAUGUCCCAAGCUUGCUUUGCUGUAGUUGCUCUAAUAAUUCUCGAAAAUAAACUUUCUGCCACCCUUGUUGGAUAAGAUAUAAUGCCUUUAAUUUGCAUCCUUUGUCCGGUUACUGUUAAGCAUCUCCUUCUCAGCAUUUGUAAGUUGGCUCUCAUCUGGAGGUUCCGUAUAACCUCCUUCCACAAUACUCCAAAGUCCUUGUGCGAUGAGCAAUGUUCUCAUCUUAAUUUUCCAAAAUUCAUAAUUUUCUCCUCCAAAAAUUGGAAGAGCGGCUUGAGUAACUCCUUGGUUACUGCCUACAACAGAAGCCAUAUAUAACUUCCUUUUUACUUCAAAUUAUAGAACGCCCGACGUCGAAUCUAGGCUCUGAUACCAAUUUGUUGGCUCUGGAGGAAAAGUAUUUACCUAUAUAGAGAAUAAGUAAAGGAGGCUAUAAUAGACAAGAGAAAAGAGUCUUAAUCAUAUAAAAAUUAUAUAAUCGUGAUUGGAUUUCAAUUGAUCUUAUGAUUACAAUGAAGGAGAAGAACUCCUUUUAUAGCCUUCAAUUGUGAGAGUUUUAGAUCUAAAUUUUCAUAACUUACAAUUAAUAGCUUUAAGAGUUUCUUAUUCAAUAUGUAACUCUAAAAAUUGCUAACUCCAUAUAUGAUAAUUUAUUCUUGAGAAAGUGCAUUAACUUCCAACAGUAAUAAGUUUUUUCAGAGUUGGCAAUCUUUGGCAAUCUUCUUGUUGCCUCAACUUGUCAAGUCACAUCCUUUUACUCUGUUUAUCUCCUCAUUCUACUUGCACAGGUAAGUUAUGUUAUGUACUCUUUUAUAUAAGGAUACAGUAUGCUCGUUUGCAUACCCCUUGAGCCAAAAAACGCAUUUGAGAAAGUUUGCUGCCUUUGUACUCAAAUCGUAGUCCAGAAUAGCAGUUUUUCUUUUCCAUCUUGCAGAGGUGAGGUUUUCACAUACAAUUUCCACUCUAGCAUGAUGAUGUUUCAUGCAUUGGAUUUUUUUAGCAGUGAUGCAUGAUGGAUUUCGGAUGUGUUAAUGGCUUGGAGGCGUAGAUAUAUUUCUAUGCAGCUGCCAUAGUUAUACAUAUGACGACCCAAUCAUGCUGAGCUAUGUGGCUUAUGCCAUUUACAAAUUAUUUCAUGUCUAUUGCCACAGAUAGCAUAAAAUUGGAAAAGUUUGGUAACACAUGAAAUAUGCUAGGAAUGUGUAUAUCACCAAAUAUUUCUAUCUUUUCAUUCAAUGUGUCUGUAUAGAUUGAUCUAUAUAUAUCACAAAAUAUUUUUGGGAUUUGACUGAUUUCAUGAUUAAUAUUAAUUUCAUCUAAACUGGUGUUGUUUGAGAUGUAAAAUUCCUUGUUGCUUUUGGAAUCAUAUGAAACAAUCAACUGCGAUGAUGCACGGAAAAAGUGUUACAUGUUUAUGGUUGGGUGGUAAGUUUAAAUACAUGCAGCCACUAUGGAAUCGUGAUGCACUUCUUUCUUUCAGGAAAAAAUACCCUCUAACCUAUACUUUCUCCUAAUGUAUAUACUUGAUUUUUUCUUGAUAUAUAAUUUUGUUUACUUCAUAUGGCCGCACAAAAUAAGACGGCACAAUGUAUGAUAAGAAAAUACCCUAACUCCCUUGAUGUUGCCUCAAUCGACACCCAAAGCCUUGAAAUUUCAUGUCCAGAUACCUCAAAGACUAGAGUAUGCUUCGAAAAUUGGACUGAGGUUAUGGACUCAGCAAUGUUGAACUUGAUGACUGAGAAACAUGUUCUGAGUAAUUUCAUUAAUGAAAGUUUCACUACAUUGGUGUGGAGUAGGAUAGUUCAUAAUUUUAAUAAGCGAACAAAACUCAACUUCAUCAAAAGCCACUUACAAAAUCGGUUGAAGGUUUUGAAGCGUCAAUUUGUCAUGUACCAAACAUUGGCUAACAAGAGUGGGUAGGGUUGGGACUAUGAUCGCAACAUUCCGACCGCUGGUGACCCGAGUGAUUGGGAUAUCGUGAUUUCUAUAUGUUAUUAAAUAAUGUUUAUUUCAAUUUGCUUGUAAUAUUAAUAUCAAUUAUUUUAAUUGUUCAUUAUAUCUAUAUUGUAUAGAAAAAUCCAGCUUAUGCAAGAUGCAGGGAUAAACCCUUUCUUGCAUAUCAUGAGAUUGAGUUUUUAUCUGGAAAGACUGCCGCCACGCGGGAGACAUGGGUUUACGACGGGGAUGCAAGGCGAGGAUGUUCGCAGCACCUCAUCAUCUUUCCCGGGCACAACAACGCUAUUGGAACAAAUUCAGUAAUCAAUGAUAGGUGCAUCUAGAGCUAGUCAAACUUCUACUCCUCAAAUAGUACCCAUUACACAGUCUUCUCGAAACGACAAUGUAGCUGACACCACAUCAUGCUCUCCUACACCUACACCAGUCAAGAGAGCAAAUCCACACGUUAAUAGUGCUUCUGGUCAUACCUCUUCUUGCAGGAGGCUUUGCUCCUCUCCUCCUUCACUCAAGACAACACCAACAUCAAGCAGCAAGGAAUGAGCUGAUGUCACCCCUAACAGUAUUCAUGAGCUUGUGAAACUCGGUAAGAAGCGUUUGAAUAUAGCCUAGCGUAUGUUGCAACGUGAACUUGAUGCCCGUCCAAAGGUACACUCUUUACAGGAAUGUAUGGCAAGAUUAAAUGAUGUGCUUGGACAGUCUCUUGAAGCCAUCCUGUCUACAUAUGAAGUGCUCAAAGAUGAGCGCAAUAGAACCAUCUUCAUGUCAUUAAGUGGCGACAUCCUUUAUAUGUGGCUUGAGCGUCAAAUAUAAAGUGGCGACAUCCUUUAUAUGUGGCCAAUUGGCCACUGGACAAAAGCCUGAUGGAGCUUCUUUCCCUCCUAUCUAGCUAACUCAUUCUCAACUCUACCUUUUGGUUUGGGUGGUCUUGCUUAGAAAUUAUUAGUUUUUUGAAUUUCUGGCUAUGAUUAGCAAAGCCUAUGAAUAGCUGUCUUUAUAUUAUUUAUGCUUGUUAGGUACUUGAACUUCUAAGCACCUGUUCUACUGCUAAACCCACUUUCAGGGUUAUGUAGACCUUUGGCUACUAACUUUUUACAUUUACUCUACCUAAUAGUCUUGCAUGUGUUUUUUCAAUACCAAAUACAUGUUUUAAAAUGCAGUUUUGAGCUGCUUUCUUUGCAAAUGGAUAUAUUCUUCUGCUUGAUCUGAAUUUUGCCAAUACUUGUGCCUCUAUGAUGCAUGUUGGGUGUAAAUGGUAGGGAGGCAAGGGUUUUACACCUUGCAGCUAUCAUUCUAACAUGAAUAUUUCAGCCCUUAGCUAAGCUUUAUGCUGCUUCUCUACCAUUUCUAUUGAAUCCUACUUGGACUUGACAAUGUUGGGUCUAUGUUUUUUUGGCGAUGAUGCAUGUUGAGUGUGAAUGGCAAGGAGGCAGAGGUUUAUUUUACACCUUGCAGCUACCAUACUAACUUGAACAUUUCAGCCCUGAGCCCAGCUUUAUGCUGCUUUUUUGUUGUUUCAAUCGGAUCCUACUUGGGCCUGGUAGGUCUUAUGAAUAUUUAGCACACUGAUUAGGACUGUAGACUCUUGCAUGUUUGCUACCAGUUUAUGCCUUUGUAGACUCCUACGAUGGCUCAGUUGUGUCAUUAUUUGAUCUUUCUACACUGCUAAUUUCCUGCAACAAUUACUUUCUUGAUGGUGGUAACCUUUGUAAACUUGUACAUUGCUUGGAUGGGUUAUGUUUUUUUGGCGAUGAUGCAUGUUGGGUCAGCUUUAUUCCUGCAUAUUUGUUCUUACUUCAUGAAUUUAUAGACUACUACAUUGCUCGCUUCUGUCUUUGUGCUGCUUUUCUAUACUGUGACAUGUCGGCUGCUGUCGCUGCUUCAAGUUUACUUUUUUUUUUUCUUUUUUUUUUCUUUUUUUUUUUUAUGUUCUGUACUCCUUAUAACAUCAGAUAUUAGAGUGCUAUUGGUUUUAUGAUUGUUCAAUUCACUAUUUACUUCUAUGUUGGUGCUCUAUUGCAUGCUACUCGUUUUAGAUACUACAUUGCUAUUAUGUUUUACAAUAGUUCAGUAUACUCUGGUUUUAUGAUUGUUUAUUAGACUGUUGGUUAGCUUCAUUCCGUAAUUUUGCUACUAUUUCAAUCAUCUGUUGUAUUCUACACUGCUCAGUUGUGAAUUCCUGCUGCUUUUGUACACUGCUACUUUCCUGAUACUAUAAAAUUUUUAUGCUUGUAAGGAACAUAUUGGUUCUCUACUCCUUGUAAUUUCAGAUAUUACACUCGUGGGCAUUUGGGAAGGUCAAUGUGGCGAUAAUGCAUAAUAGGGUUACAUGUGAUCAUGGUAGGAUGGCAGUGAUGUAUCCCACUGCAGCUAUCAUUUUCUUGAUAACCCUAUUAAUCCUAAGCCAAUUUUAUAUAGUACAUCUUACAUAUUAGGAUGGUGUAUUUUGGUAGUGAAGUAAUCUAGUUUCAUUUAUAUAUUGCAGAGAUGGAUACUAUAAUCAAUCGGCAAUUUUUUUCAUCUGCAACUUUAGCCGAAGUGAUGACAUUUCUAGAUGAGAAAGAUGAGUAUUGGGAUGAUAUGUUUGCUAUUAUGAUCAAUAAAGGUAUGUUUCAAUUUCAGAACACCUUGUACAAGCGACCAUGUCGCACAAGACCAUUCACCGGUCAUCAAGUAAUUAUGAAUAUUUUAGGAAAGCAUCUAGAUAGAGGCUAUCAACACUUUCGCAUGUCCAACAUCACAUUUAUAAGACUUCGAGAUGAAUUGGUUGAGAAGGGUUUGAUACAGGGUAGUCGCCAUUUGACUACAGAUGAACAGCUUGGGAUUUUUCUAUUUGCUGUUGGCCAUGGCGUAACAAAUAGAAUUUUAGCUAAGACAUUUCAACACUCAGGGGAGACAAUUAGUAGAUAUUUUAAUAAUGUCAUGCAAGUCAUAGUGGAACUUAGGCAUGAUUACAUCCAAAUGCCUACCAGUAAUGUUGAAUGCAUCAAAAAAUAAGGAACAACCCAUUAUUCCAUCCUUUUAAGGUGAUAUAACUAGUAGACUAUGCUGUUUUCUUUUGGUAAUAUGCAGAUUUUGACAUAUUGAUUUUUUCUUUUUUAUUGCUUUUGCAGAAUGUAAUUGGCGCUAUUGAUGGAACACAUAUACCGAUAGUUGUAAGAAAGCAUAAGCAAGCGCGCUAUCAUUGUCACAAAGGGUUUACAUCACAUAAUAUGUGUUGGAUAUAUUGUUAUUGGAUAUUUUGUUACAAUAUAAUCCAAAUAAUAUAUUCACAUACAAUCCCAAUAAGUGAAAGUGUAAUAAGGCCCAUAUCUCUGGAGCCCAAUAGCUUAUUUAUUAAAUCUAGGGUUUCCUACGCUGGAGGUAACACUGUUGAGCGUUCCAAACUUGACGUCUCUUGGUAUAAUACUUUAAGCUCCCAAAAAACCCUAACCUCCAACAAUCUUAAAGUAUUACGAUCCUAUGUCGGAUUUGAGCGAGUAAGGUGUCGAUUCGAAGAUCUCGUCAAGACGAAUUCCCCGGUAUAAUUUAUUUUCGAUUUCGACGAUCGGAUUGGCCGGGAUCUGAGUUUGAAGGUCAGGCGGCGGAAUUCUUUGAUUCAAAAAUCCAGAAAUUAUAGCCAAUUUCAGAGGGUGAAACCACUUGGGUUCUGUUCUACUCGUCGAUACGAACGUUUUGAGUGGUUACUCGUCUCGAACGGAGGUCGGACGACGAAGUUACGGCCAUCGGAAGUUUUCAGCAGUUUCCGGCGACGAGGGCAGUUCAUCUUAAGGUUUUUGGGCGCUACGGAUCCAAUUUUGGGUUUGUUUUUGGCAAAUUCCACCUCUACAAAGCACUUUGAUUCAGAUCAGGGGCUUUAUUCGACUUUGCGAGAUCUGCGGACUACAAGGUGCACUCUUUCUAACACUUUGCUCUGAUUAAAUGGCAAAGCGUAGUUCUUUUGAUAUUAUAAAAUUGCAAUCAUUUGAUGUUACUGAAUUUCAUGGUUGGAAAUUACAUGUUCAAUUUGGCAUGAAAGAACGUGAAAUAUUCUACACUGUUCUGAGUGAUUUUGCAUCUACCAUUGAAAAUGUGGAUGAAUAUCAAUGGAACAAGGAUGAAGAUUUCUGUAGAGAUUACUUGUUGAACUCUUUAAAUCCUCGUCUAGCUAUGACUUAUAGUGAGUAUAAGACAGCGAAAGAGAUAUGGGAUCACUUGAACGCUCAGUUCCAAAAACAAGAGGGGCUUUCUAAAACUCUUCUAGCGGAGAAUUUUUUUGACUUUAAGUUCAAUAUGAAUUCAAGUAUCACCUCUCAAUUAAUUGAACUUGAGAACAUGAGGAACAAGCUGAAAGAUGAUAAAUCUGAUAUGUCUGAUAAUCUCUUUGUUGGUCUUGUAUUGAGUAAGUUACCUGCUGAAUGGAAUUCUUUCAAGACUGAAAUGCACAGAUUGAAAGAACAGAUGGGACUGGAUGAAUUAAAGAGGUAUAUUCACAUUGAGGAUCAAAACAGUACUAGAAAGAAUUUAGAACAAGUAGGACAACAAAAGUCAGUUGCCAACUUAGUUUCACACUUCAAUAAACCUCAGAAAAGAUCCAAGUCACCAAAAGGUGAAUCUUCUUCACAGCUAGAGGUCAAAAAGACUAUCUCCAAAAAGAAGAAGAAAGGAAAGUGUCAUAACUGUGGAAAGUGGGGUCACUGGGCAACAGAGUGGAGACUACCAAAGAAGCCAAAGAAUAACACAUCACAAAGUGAGGCUAAUAUGCUAAUUAGUGAAUCUGAGCCUCAAGCCUUCAUUGGAAUGAUGAAAAUUGGAAAGGCUAGUAUUUCUUCUGAGUGGUGGUUGGAUAGUGGCGCUACUUGUCAUGCUGCAAAUGACAAGAACCUACUCACAGAGGUCACAGAAGUGAAAGACACCGUGAAAAAUUGCAAUGGUGGUGAGACAGAAGUGACUCAUACUGGAACUGCAAAUUUGGUGCUUUCUUCAGGUAAAUUACUAACUCUGAAACAUGUUAGAGUAGUACCUUUACUUAAAAAGAAUUUGAUAUCUAUGAGCUUACUUGAUAAAGCUGGUAUGUCUUUUUCAACUAUGAAUGGUAGAGUAACCUUAUCAGUUAACUCAUGUUAUUUUGGUUGUGCAUUCAUAGUUAAUGGUAUGUAUAGGUUGAGUUUAGAUACUGAUAGUAUAAACCAUAUGAGUUCUAUUCUGAUUGAUCCAAAGUUGUUGCACAAUAGACUUGGACAUGUGAACUACAGGAAAAUGCAACAUCUAGCUAAAACUCACAACAUUCCAUUGGAUACUUCUAUUCGAUUUGACAAAUGUGAAGUGUGUGCACAAGCUAAGAUCACUAGAAAACCUUUUAAGAUGGUUUCUAAAAGCACACAACUUCUUGAGCUAAUACAUUCUUAUCUUUGUGAUUUUAGAAAUUACGUCACUAGAGGUGGUCGAAAGUAUUUGAUAAUAUUCAUAGAUUAUUUUUCUAGAUAUUGUCAUGUCUAUUUGUUGAAAUCGAAAGAUGAGGCUUUUGAAAAGUUUAAAAUUUUCAAAUCUAGAGUAGAAAAUCAACUCAACAUGAAAAUUAAGAGGUUUAGGAGUGAUAGAGGAGGAGAAUAUACAAUGACAGGGUUCAAGGAAUUUUGUGCUUCAGAGGGCAUAAUACUUGAAACCACUGCUCCUUACUCACCCCAAUCAAAUGGUGUUGCUGAGCGUAAGAAUAGAACGUUAACUGAAAUGUUAAAUUCUAUGUUACUUAUAGCUGGCAUGCCUUCCUCCUAUUGGGGAGAAGCAGUUCUGACUGCUAAUCACAUUCUGAACAGGUUGCCACACUCUAAGUUGUCUAUGACACCUUAUAAGAUAUGGCAUAAGCAUCCUUGUAGAUAUGAUACUCUUAAGACCUGGGGUUGUGUUGCUUAUGUAAGAAUACAAGAUCCAAAGAGGCCUAAGGUGGGACCUAGAACAAUUACCUGUGUAUAUCUAGGCAGUGCAGAAGAUAGUGCUCCAGAUAGGUUUUUAGAUCUAUCUACUAACACAGUGAUAGAAUCUAGAGAUGCAGAAUUCUUCGAGAAUAAGUUUCUCAGAGAUCAUGGCUUGAAUGUUUCUGGAUCUAUAGAUAUGAUUUCAGAAUCUCCUGUAGAAUCUGAAGUAGGCCCUUCUGACACUAAUCCCACACAAUUGGCUAUUGAAUCAGUUCCAGUUAGAAUAUCUACAAGAGAGAGAGUUCCCAAAAGUUUUGGUGAGAAUUUUGUUACUUACCAUCUCGAGGAUGAUCCAUUUUCUUAUCAAGAAGCAAUGAGAUCUAGGGAAUCCCUACUGUGGGCAGAAGCCAUAGAUGAUGAAAUGAGCUCUCUGUUGCAGAACCACACUUGGCAGCUAGUCAAUUUGCCAAAAGGGGCUAAGGCUAUAGGCUGUAAGUGGGUAUUGAAAAAGAAACUGAAUAGUGAUGGAUCAAUAGCNAUAAAGCACCGGGUUUUGGCUAUUUUGAAACGGUCCAAAUACUCUUCGACCUUUCACCUGACAUUUGUCGGUAUAAAGCCAAGUCGGCGAUCGAUAAUUGUAGCUCCGAUCUAUAGAAUCGCUCAUGAAAUUUUCUUUCCAAUUCGUCCCAAUCUUGGAUGGAAUUGGCUGAUAAACUUGUAUACCAAAUAAACGCUGUUUUAGUUAACGACGUGUUAAAUAAUCGAAGUUUCAAAUAUGAGUCAGCGGCCGCUUCUCUACAUUGGGCCGUGAACCGGGCUAUAUGCUAGACCGUAUUCUCGGUCUCAUCGCCCGAGAACUUGUCGAACUUCGGCAUUUCCAGUUUGCCGGAUACGGAUGCUCUGUAUCUAUAUUUGCUGGAUACGGGGAUCGAAAAACAUGCCGCAUAGCCGGCCUGGCCCCUACUCCGAAGGUAUUCCGAAUGACUUCCUCAAUCUGAGCAUACAGCGGAGCUUGUGCUUAAGCCGAAUUUGGCCCUUGAGGAACUCCAGAAUUCUGUAUUGUAGGGUUCGCUCCUUGCAUAUCAUUAGGGGCCUGCGCCCCAGCUCUAGCCCCUACAUUUUGGGGCUGGUAUGCUGCCGUCGGCGGAGGUGGUGGCAAUCCUUAUGUAAUUUCCGGCUGUUGACCGGUAUUGACGACGGCUGGUCUGUAAACCGCUUGGAAUGGUGCCCCCUGGUAUUGGGGCUGUCCAUUUAUCGGUGUCGCAGGAUUUUGCAACACUGGUGUCAUCAUAGGCCUUUGUGAGCCUGUCAUUGGUUGCUCAUUUCGAGUCAAUAAUUGCCCUAUUCGUGCAAUAUUUUCAUUAUAGGCCGUGAUAGCGGCCAGCACCGCGUCUAGACGAGCGGUACGUUGAUGGAUAUUUUGAUCUAAAGUUUGCAGGACUCGGAUCAUCUGGCCGAAUGCCUGAGUUAGACUCGGCUCUUGAUGAGCCGACUGUCCACUAGUUUCUCCUUCAACUGGCAAAACUGCUUGACAUUCGCCAGCAUUGUCUGAAUCACUAGGUUGAUCACUCCUAGAAUUUCUAGGAACAACCCUAUUACGUAGAUCAUCGGCCAUAAUUUAUAUAAAAUAUAAAUUUACCUAAAAAUGUGUCCCACUGGGCGUGCCAAAAUUGUUGGUGGCCGAAAGUCCCGACCGUUGACCCGGUCAAGAAUCCUCCUCGGGAAGAACGUCGGGAUGAUGAGCGGCCGCGGAUGGUGACCCUCGAAGUUUGCGCCCACGACGGAUCAAGCGAUUCGGCUGACGAGGGAUCGAAUCAGCCGGGUUCGAAAGCUCUUUUCACUCUUCGGUUCGGCUGGAUGAGCCGAAAAUGCGGAGAAAGUCGGAAGUUAAGCCGGGAGAUGAGCCGAAUGGCCAGGACAACUCGAAAUCUGGUCGGCUUGAAUAGCCGAACAUGACUUUCUAUUGAAUAGAAAAUAAAAAAGUACAAGAACAGAGGAGUGAUGCCCGUGGGGCAGACAGACUCCAAGUAUAUUCUACAAGGGAGUGAUGCCCAUGGGGCAGACAGACUCCAAGUAUAUUCUAUAAGGGAGUGANAAAGACCACCCUUAUUUCCUCUGCAUUUUAUCGCUUUUCUAGGAGUAGUCUAAAUGUAAGCUUUUUCUUUUCCGCAUUUACUGCUUUCUUAGGAGUAGUUCGCUAAGUAGAACCCUGGAGUCUGUCUGCCCCACGGGCACCACUCCGUUGUAGACUACAUUUGCAGAGUCUGUCUGCCCCACGGGCAUCACUCUGUUGUAAACUAUAUUUCUGAGUCUGUAUGCCCUUCGGGCACACUCUUUUUAUUAUUAUAUAAAGGCAUUUCGCUCUUUCAGCCGACCAGUUACUGUGUACUUUUUCCAUUCGGCUCUUCUGCCGACAUUGAUCUAUGCACAGUUCAUACAUUCGGCUCCUCCAGCCGAACCGAUUCUAUAGUAGUGGUUUUCGAACCCGGCUGAUUCGAUCCCUCAUCGGCUGAAUCGCUUGAUCCGUCGUGGGCGCAAAUUUCGAGGGUCACCAUCCACGGCCGCUCAUCAUCUCGAUGUUCUUCCCGAGGAGAAUUCUUGACCGGGUCAAGGGUCGGGACUUUCGGCCACCAACAAUUACCCAAUUAACUUAGUUAACUCCUUUGGUUAACUACAACUCACCAAUCAAAUACCUUCUUAUCGGGGAGAAUUUCGCUACAACCCGACGAGACCGUCUACUGGGAAGCAUACCCGCUACCAACCCAGUUGAUGACAACUCCGGAGCUCAUCGCCCAAGGAGGAGCGACCUUUACCUCGAGCAUUAGAUUAAUAUGAGUAUGAUCCAAUCCUGACUUAGAGGAUACAAUGACAAUGCCACACUUUAACUAGCUCUUUAUGCUAGGUUUACAUGUCCAAUUCUAGAUACUAAUCAAUUCAUCUAGUUCUAAUGCCACAAAUAGUACAAGUUCAUUUUCCUUGUUCAUUAUUCACACUACUUGGUGCUACUCAUGCCGUUUAUUCAUAAUGUCACUUGUUAACUAUUUCAUAGUGUUGGUGGUCGAAAGUCCCGACCGUUGACCCGGUCAAGAAUCCUUCUAGGGAAGAAUGUCGGGAUGAUGAGCGGUCGCGGAUGGUGACCCUCGAAGUUUGCGCCCACGACGGAUCAAGCGAUUCGGCUGACGAGGGAUCGAAUCAGCCGGGUUCGAAAGCUCUUUUCACUNGGCCGCGGAUGGUGACCCUCGAAGUUUGCGCCCACGACGGAUCAAGCGAUUCGGCUGACGAGGGAUCGAAUCAGCCGGGUUCGAAAGCUCUUUUCACUCUUCGGUUCGGCUGGAUGAGCCGAAAAUGCGGAGAAAGUCGGAAGUUAAGCCGGGAGAUGAGCCGAAUGGCCAGGACAACUCGAAAUCUGGUCGGCUUGAAUAGCCGAACAUGACUUUCUAUUGAAUAGAAAAUAAAAAAGUACAAGAACAGAGGAGUGAUGCCCGUGGGGCAGACAGACUCCAAGUAUAUUCUACAAGGGAGUGAUGCCCAUGGGGCAGACAGACUCCAAGUAUAUUCUAUAAGGGAGUGAUGCCCAUGGGGCAGACAGACUCCAAAGAUCUAAGUUACAAGAACUACUCCUAGGGAAAGCAGUAAAUGCGGAAAAGAAAAAGAUUAUAUUUAGACUACUCCUAGAAAAGCGAUAAAAUGCAGAGGAAAUAAGGGUGGUCUUUUGUGCGCAGGGGCAAAGACCCCAAUUACAGGCUUCAAAGUUACUAUUUAUAGCCCACAUUAUUAGUUGGUUGAAAGAAGUUGGGGGGAGUGGUUGUAACCAUGAUCGUGGAAAUUAUACUAACUCCUCAUGGAAGUUACGCUAACUCCUCAUGGAAGUUACGCCACAAUCUUCAACCGUUCCCGCCUUUUUGUCCUUUAGGCGUCUUAUUGCCGGCUCCUGGUGUACCAUGUGUCCUUAUUGGCUCAUACGUGGGUUAGGUCGGCUCAAUUUUGGUAUCAACACAUAGUCAAUACUUGUUCAAACAACUAUAGGGUUCUAUGUUUACUAACCACUGUCCACAUGUAUUUAGCUCCCAAAGCAUACAAUUAGACCACAUGUCAAUUUAAUCACAUAUCAAACUCAACCCUAUAAUGCAUGAAUGUCAACUAAACAUAUACAAUACAUGUAUGCUUAAGAAAUGUGACAUAAACAUAAUAGGUCAUUCGAUGACUUCGAAAAGCAUCACCCACCUUUAAAUGAUGCCGGAAUGCGAGAAAACCACUUCCCGCGAUUUAUGAACGAUCACACCUCUCGCUCGCGACAAACGAAGCUAAAAUGAGGUUUUUCCUCACUAGCUUGCCGUAGGCUCGUAGGAACGCCAAUCCGAGCUUCCCAAUGCAUCGGUUUUACCCUCAAUUAGGAUUUCAUGUGAUCAAUUUCAAGCUAGGACUCCAAUCCUACAAAAUUACAUUUUCGAGCCUAAGUUCUACAUAAUCUGUUUCUACACAAAUUCUAUAAUAUACAGGGUAAUAUAAGCUCCAAUAACUCAAGAACCUCAAACCCAACUAAUUUAGGGAAUAACAAGAGAUCAAACUCAAACUAUGUUUAUAUUCCAACAACCUUCAUAUCAGCCCAAGAGUUCACAUAUUACUACACAAUACAUAGCUCUAUCUAGGUUUUCAUGGCAAGAACCAGCUCUUGCAACUCACAAAUCCUAAGUUAAAUCCUUUCUAGAGCAAAUACCACAAACUCUACCAAAGAGAUAUCACAAUCAUACCUCAGGUUUGUAGCUUCAUCAGAUUUCCUCUUUUGUUCUUAAGCUCCCUCACCUCAAGAACACAAACUUCACAUACUUUUCCUUCUCCAAUCCACCCACCUUAGGUUUAGAGAGAGAAGGAGAAAGAAAUGAAAAGAGAGAAGAAGAAGGAGGCUAUCACUAUACGUAUGAAGCAGGUGGGGGUUCAGGGGUUAUAGAUAAGACUGUACAAUUGCAAUUAAACCCCCUAUAAAAGCUGAAAUUCUUUCUACAAUACACUUAAUUUUCGGGGCUGGGUACUGGUACUCCCCUGUUUUGGUACCAGUACCCAAUGCAAUUCUUGCACUUAGGCAUCAACCAAGGUUCCAAGGUCAACUUCCAAUUCCACUUCGCGCCGAAUGCCUCUAAACACCUCUAAAACAUAUCACCAACUAUCCCCACGCCUCCGAAAUGAUUCGGGGAUACUACAAAUUAUACUUAUACCCCACUUUGAUCAAUUGGUUCAAAAUUAGCCUUAUAAUCCGGAGAUUCUCUUCCGAGCUCGUUUCGCACCCAAUUUGCGCCGAAACACUCAAAUACCUCCAUUAAUCAUUCCCAUACCUCCAGAAUUACUCGGGAAUGACGCACAUCCUGUCACGCCUCGGGACCCAGCGGAAGCCCUCCCGGCGCGUGUCCAGACCCGUCAUAUGCCUACAAUAUAUAAAGCGUCUACAACAAAGCGAUAAUUAAAAACAAUAAUAAACCAGUAUCUAGAGAUAUCAGAGCAUGAUUACAUCUAAAUUCUAAUAACAAAACGAAUAGUAAAAGAGCUAAUCAACUAAUAUAACCAAAAGGGUAUCUACAACGAGUUCCAAACAUAAGAGCUAAAUGUAAAAAAGUGGUGGUCUCUACAAGGUACAAAACUCUCAACCUCUCCAAAAGAACAAAAAGAGAGGUGAACCACCUAAAUACGGAGCUCCUCGCAACUAGCUAGAGGCAAAACCUUUGCCUCGAUCCAGAGCCUCUCCCGGCGUGGAAGGCUCUGUAAAACAUCAAGAAACAGGGGCGUGAGAACUAUUAAACAAUAGUUCCCAGUGGGCAAUUACUGACCUCAUUGAAAUGCACCACUGGGCUAAAAGCAGAAAUAGUAAGUUCUAAUAUUUAAAUGGAAUGAUCGACAUGUAUGUAAACAUGAAUAAACUUGCUAAACUACUAUGUCUCUACCUUAGCAUGUAUUUCCACAAUGUAAAUGCUAUUCUAACAUGAAUAUGCAUAAAUAUAAUCAACAUGAUAUCCACAAGUACAACUAGUAAAAUGUCAUUGUUUACUAAUUUGUCUAAUGUCCACUUUGCAUUAAUUCCACUUUAUUCCAAUCACAUAGGACCUAUCCGUGGGUAGUCCGACUUGCGUCGUGCCUAAUGGCACCGUGGUAGUCAACAUCCCCACCCUAGGAAUGAGCCUCCCCUACGGCAUCCCAUUUCGGCGCCCAAUCCCGCACGGGCGAGCUUAUGUCGCGAUGGCUAUCUCCGGAGUGCCGGCUUGUGGGGAGCGACCCUCACAAGUAUGUGCGAAUGAGCACAAUGGCAAGCAAGCGUAAGUAUCAGUCUCAAGUCCAAUGUCAUCAUGUCUAAAACAUGGUAUAUAUAAAAGCUAGCGACCCAAAGGCCUAUCACGAUAUCAUCAAGUAAAGGUUUCAUAUUUACUAGGUUCCAUGCCCCUUUAUGACAUUCUUAUCCACUAUGUCCAGUGUGAGUUCUAAGUCUGAGAGCAUAUUAUAUAAGUCAUUUUCUUUGCAAGAAAUAUGAUUUCAACCAUAUAUAAAUAGAAUGCUAUUCUCAUACAUGCUAACAAUGCAUUUAUCUCUCUCUACUAUAUAGAGGUAAUUUUUCAUCAUACAUAACACAUGUAUUUUAAGCAUUCUAAACAACUCGUAUGCUCUAUUUAAUAUGAAUAUGCAUGCAUUUCUAUUUUACGACAAUUAAAAAUCGACAUAGGUAGAGUUUUUCUCUUUUCGAUGAAGUCAAAUCCACCAAAGUUCCUCGUAGCCCUUUGUUUGUGCCGACGAAGGUGUCCACUAGCCUCCUAGCUCCCUAAAGGUUAAACUAGGAGAGUUAAACGAAAAGAACGAACAUUACCGAGAUCAAACAUUAACCAACCCGAGCAAAAGGGCAAAACUCACAUUCUAUGGUGAAAUCCCCUCUCAAACUACAAAAGUGAGUAAGAUCCCUUCAAAUCCAACCUAAACAAAGGUUCUAACUCAAUCAAUUGAGUUCCAAAAGUCUCAAACCAAAAAUCUCCAUUUUAAACCCUAAUUUCACAUUUCUAGGGUUUCAUCUCAAGAAAUCCUUCAAAUUAUGAAUCUAAUGAAAGAAAUAUGUUACUAACCUCUUUAGAAGCUUCAAUCAAGGCUCAAAAUCAACUAGGGUUGAAGAUCUUCCUUCCCACGAGCUCCAAUUCUCAAUCCAAUGCUUCUCCAAGGGAGAAACCCCAACAAAGAGCACAGAGAAGUAAGGAGAGGAGAUCAAAAUGAGCUAAAACAUAAGAAAAAAGAAAGAAAAUCAAGAGAGGGGUUCUUACCUCUCUUCUCCAUGGAUCAGGGCUCAAAAGAGCCUCUAUGGGCUGUAGGGUGAUAUAUAGAUAUGCUACAAUUGCAAAAACACCCUCUCAGAAUAAGCAGUCUGCGGGUUGCACUGUGUACCAGUACACGGACAAGAGUACCGGUACUAAGCCACAGUACGCGCAAACCCGAGCCUCGGGUUUGCAGGAAAAAUACACUGGUACCGGUACCAGUCCAAUGCUGUACCGGUACCACCUCUGGUUCCGGUACAAACUCAAUGUUGUACCGGUACCCAGUUCAGCAGAAUCCAACCCGAGAGCAGCCAACAAUCUUUACUUUAAAGACUUUGGAGCUAAAUUUUAAACCUCGUUUCUCGGGAUGCGAGCCACAGGUCGGAAUAUUGUCAACGACCCUCUAGAAAAUGUGGAAAAGCUCGGAACACAGAUCAAGCACUCGAACCUCACGAUUUGCAAAGGUCCGGUGUGUUACACAUCCAGCUCAAGCUUCACUUUGAUCCCCUAGAUCAAAGUUAGCAUUGUAACCCAGAAUUUCAGUAUAUUACAAUUUAUGCAAAUUUAUAGAUUGAAAUUAUGAUGCAUUAAAACAUUGAUAAAAUUUUAAUCCUAACUAUCAGUAAAAUAACAUAUACUUAAUUCCUUUUAGGAUUAGUAAGGUGAAUUAGGUAAGUAGCUGACAUAACUGAAUUUCUAUUUAAUCUGACCCUUCUAUUCAAUGCUAUCCUGAAAUUUCCAUUAGCAUUUCAAAUUUUACUUAUUUAUUCCUUUUCCUUUUAGAAUCAUGGUUAGGUUAAAAAGGUCAAGAGAUGAUAAGAUUAGAAGCAAUGAGGUGCAAAAUAGUUGUAAUGACUCGGCGCCUAUCUCACAAUCAAGAUCGUCAAAUACAAUGUCAGAAUCUAAUUCGACACAAGCUGCCUCACAUCUUGAAUCCUCACAAAACCAACCUCAUAUUCAAGAGACAAUUGAAGUUGAAAGUACAGAUAUAUUAGAGAUAAUUGGUAAUUUUUUCCAUCUUGCUAUUUUAUUCAACUAUAUGUUAGAUUAUUGUGGUUUUAAUGUUGUUAUUUGUUUCAUGUUUGUAGAUACUGAGGGAAGGAUAAAAAGGAAACGUGGAAUCCAACAUGCUAAAGAUGUGUGGAAUUUACCAAUGGGAGAAAGAAUUGUAAUAAAAUGCAAUCGCUUUGGACAACCUUUGAAAAAAGGUGGAGGCAUCUUAAGUGGUUGGCUUGGGUUGGUGGCACGGAUGGGAAAUUGGUGCCCAAUUGGUUACAAACGCUGGAAGAUUGUGCCAUCACGUUACAAAAUUGACGUCCUUAACUUGACACGGGUAAUUGUUUUUAUCGUUUUAACCUUUAUUUAUAAAUUAUAGAUCACUUGUAAGGGUAAUUGAGUGUAUUUCUAAUAAAACUUAUAUGAUAAUUUAGUAGAUCGAGUUUAUUUGCUAUUUGAUGAAACAUUGCUUAACAAGUGUAAUUUGAAACCCAUAAAUGUAGCUAGUCUCCUUCGCUUUCUAUUUUUGUAAAUGCUUAUUGUUUUUUUAUUGUUGGUAUAGAGCAAGUUUGUCCUCCCAAAUAGCGACAUCGAUAAGUGGGUUUUGAAAUCCUUGAGCCGAAAGUGGAAGAAUUUUAGAUUCGAAUUAAAAGCUAAAUACAUGUUAGAGGAUCUAACUGAACAACAACUCGCAAGUAACGUCCCGCAUGGAAUUGUUCCUCACCAAUGGGUAGAUCUUGUUCGAUAUUGGUUUUCAGAGAAAUGUCAGGUUAUAUACUAAUGAGAACAACUUUGUUUAAUAGUUUCAUUACAAUUUUAUUGAAACUUAAUAAUUUGUUUAAAUCUUAUAGUUAUAUUCUCAAGUUGGGAAGACCUCACGUUCCCUUCACACUACACAUCACACGACGGAUUCCAUGAGUUUUGGAAGAAAAAGGGAUGAAUUUGUGUGUAAAUAAACUAUUAAUUUUUGCAUUUCAAUUAAAUUAUUUUAUUCCGUUUUUACAUAUGGAAUAACAAAUUUGGUACUAAGUUUUCAUAUAAUAAAUGCUUGUAGGAAAUUGAGCAUGGAAGAGAGCCAAGUCGUCUUGAAUUCUUCAUUGAAACCCAUAAACGUAAAGAUGGAACACUUGACAAGCCGUCACAAACUAUUGUGGUAUGUUAUUAUAUAUAUAUAUAGUUCAGUCUUUUAUAUGUUUAAUGUUUCUUAGAUACUUCGUAUAUGUAUAAAUCUUUUCGUUGAGUAAAGAAUGCCAUAUAACAAAUGCUCUUUCCCUCUCCUAAGGUUUUAUUAGAGUAAUGCUUCUUAAUUUACCACUAAACUUGAUAUUGACUCCCUAGUGGUCUUGUUAAAGUGUGCAUUACUAAUUUUAUAGUUCUGGUCUCAUAGGAAAAUUCUAAAUUUGUUGCUAAUCAUAAAACUAUUUUCAUGUAAAUAGCCUGAUAUGUUCUUCUAUUAGAUAUUUCCAUGGAUAAUGAAUAGGUUCUCACUUUAAGUGUGAGAAAUGUUUUUCGAACAAUGGGUCCAUAAUGUAGUGCUUAUGCUUGUUUAGAGAGCACGGGUCUAAAUUGGAAUUUCAGUAGCCCGAAAAUGUUAUGGGAUUAUGGAGAAAAUUUAACUUGGAUUUCAUGUUUGUCUAGCAAAAUCAAUGUUGCCAUUAAGGCAUUAACACGUUAAGCUCUUGAAAUUUUUACUUAUUGGAGGAUGUGUAUCAGUGUAUGACACUUUUAUCUUGGCAAACCCUACCAUAAUACAUCUAUCUUGCCGUUAGCGCGUUAAACUCUUGAAAUCUUUACCCAUUGAACAAUGUGUAUGGCACUUAUCUUAGCAAACCGUACAAUUAAUACUGCAUCAUAAUGGGUAAGGUUGAAUUUCAAAUACGUCAACCGUGCAAAAUGAAAGUGAUUGUCGUUCCCACUUUAUAAAAAUGCAUGAUAAAAGUCGGCAACUGCUGGUUCUAGAAGGCAGUUGAGCUACUUCAAUUCUUGGUUCUAAAGAGAAGGAACAAACUCUUAAUGGUUAUUACAUUUAGAUUUCUUUUAAAUUGAGCUGCUUUAAUUGUGAUUUGCCUCUCCAGUUCUGAAAUUUAUAAAUUUCUAUGUUUUUUUAAACUAGAGAAGUAUACUGGCUACAUGUUUAAAAAACCGCCCUUUAACUCAUUCUUUAAUUUUGUGGAUAUCAUUCCACUAUUGUUAAGAUGCAUGAUGCUUAUAUAUUUUUGUUCCAUUUUGUAUUAACUAGUAGUCCUAUUACUCCAAUACCAUAACCCAAAAGUGCAGACCUUUUUACCGUUUUAUCUUGUAGCUCCACAUGACUAUUAUCCUAAACUACUUUGAUUGAAAAUUGCAAGAUUUGUGGCAGCUCAGUAAUGCUAUUGUGACAGGGUGUCAUUAAUCUCAAGUGCAUUCAUUUGGCUUUGAUUUGAGAAAUCUGAGAUAUUGGUCUUGGGCUUUGAUUUGUACUUUUACUUGUAAAGUUUUAAAAAAGAAUGAUAUGAAAUACUUAAUUGGAUUAUUUGAAUUUUUGUAGGAUAAUGUGGGAAAAAAGAUUGUUGAAAAAGGAGGCACAUCUGAAUCAUCUGAAGCUACUAGCGAGUUACAAGAUGAAGUGUAUACGGAUAUCUUGGGGAAAGACCGGUAUGGGCGUGUGAGAGGUUAUGGUAUUGGAGUUACACCCACACAAUUAUUUGGAGUGGAAGCUUAUAUAAGAAGAAUGAGUUGUGGGUGAGUCGACUCAAUGGAGAUGCAGAGGUUUCAAAAUCAAAUGCAAUCUAUACUAAAGAGUCAUGAAGAACAGAUGCAAACUAUGCAAGUAAAUUAUGAAGCUCAAAUUCAAACCAUGCAGAAGAAUCAUGAAGAGCAAAUACAAGCGAUGCGCAGUAGUUGUGAAACAAAAUUAGCUGGAAUACAAAGUCAAUUGGACCAAGUGACCUUUACAUUGCUAAGAUUUUCCGGAUCAUUUGAUAAUCAAAAUGCUAGAAUGGCCCGUUUUGGAUCUAAUGCAUUUGAUGAAACUAUCCAUCAAGUUAACACUUCAUCAAGUAAUCAUGAAAGGGAAAUGAAUUGAUACAUAGAGGGUUUAAAACAAUACAUGGAAAAGAGCAUUUUUUUGUAAUUUUGUUCAUGUAGACAUUUCAUAUGAUAUGGUAUGAGUUUGUAUGAAUUUUUAAUUAGGUAAUUUUUUUGUGUGUAAACGGAUUGUGGGAUUGUUAUCUCAUGAAUACUUUUGUUGCGUAGAUAUAGUACAUUUGCUAUGGAUGUAAACUUAUAUUUUUCAGUGCUAAUCAUAGUAAAUUUUGGUNCCACCUUACACAUGAAAAUAGAUAUAGUAGGAAGUACACCUUUUUUGGUGACACAAAACUCAUCUGAAUUGCUAAUUUGAAAAAGAAAAGGUGAUGUAGACAUUUCAUAUGAUAUGGUAUGAGUUUGUAUGAAUUUUUAAUUAGGUAAUUUUUUUGUGUGUAAACGGAUUGCCUGAUUGUUAUCUCAUGAAUACUUUUGUUGCGUAGAUAUAGUACAUUUGCUAUGGAUGUAAACUUAUAUUUUUCAGUGCUAAUCAUAGUAAAUUUUGGUUAUUGUGAUCAACUUUAUUGAUAUGUAAAUAGAUAAAUAAUUUGUUUAUUAAUAUGUGAAAAUAUUUGUUGGAUGCAAUCAAAAUUAAAAAAAAAACAAUCAGGAAAAGAUAAAUUUCUGAUGCUUUAAAGCGUCAGGAAUUUUGAAAUUAAGAACAAUGCCAGACGCUUCAAAGCGUCAGGAAUUCUUGAUGCUUCAAAAAGUCAGGAAAUUGGUGGCAUUCCUGACACUUCUAAGCGUCAGGAAAUUGAACAACAUAAUGACGCUUACAAGCGUCAGGAAAUUUAAGGAAUUCCUGAUGCUUCUAAGCGUCAGGAAAUUGAACAACAUAAUGACGCUUACAAGCAUCAGGAAAUUGAAGGAAUUCCUGACGCUUCUAAGCGUCAGGAAAUUACAAACAUGACGGUAAAAAUUUUAAACCUAAUGACGCUUAGAAGCGUCAAGAAUUUAUUUUAUAUUCUUAACGCUUGGAAGCGUGAGAACAUUUUAUUCCACGACGCUUUUACCGACGCUUCAUUUGUUGACGCUUUGUAAUGCGUCGGUAGGUUUCUUAGGGAUAUUUAAAAGCGUCUCUAACUGCUAAAAAAAGUCCUUAAAUAUCAUAUUUUUCUAACUGCUAAAAAAAGUCCUUAAAUAUCAUAUUUUUUGUAGUGAUGGAAAGAGAGUAUGGUUAUUAAGACAUUAUUUAUCAUUUUCUUCUCUUUUGUUGGGUUUUGAGACAGGUUUAUUAAAAACUAUCAUUUUUGAUAUAAAAAAAAUGACAAAUGCAUCAGUAUCAAUCAUUCAAUUUAAAAGAAUAUUUGAUAUAGCAUGUUAAAGGUUAAAAUUGAAAACGAUCAAUAAUUUUAAACUCCUUUUUUUUUCUCAUAAAAAAAAAAAAAUUAAACUCCCUUUUUGCACUAGUAGUGUACCUCAAGUGAUGCAAAACUAGAAGGAACAAUAGAACACAACUAAAUAUGAUACAUAUAUAUUAUGAUUAUUACGUUUAAAUAGUGCAGCAUAUGUACGCAUCAAACAAAUGAACAGUGACAACAAAUUAAUAUAACACACCACACUCGUACGUACAUAAGCAACAACUAAGCUCAACGUAAUGCAAACAAAGUAUACGAAUUAUAUUACAGGCACCCCCUUUUAAUCUAGUUAUAGAUUUUGUAUGCAUCAAAGUGUGUGCACAAAAGUGCGCACGUCGAUGCAACUCAAUCAACCAAUCAAUCAGGCGUCCGACCAGAUGAUGCUGUGCUCUCUGACCUCCUUCGGGAUCCCAAGCACCUUCCACACGGCCGGCGAAGCGUCCACGAUGUUAUUCGCGCACGGCGUCUGGAAGUCGUGGUCUUUGUCGCACCCGUUCACGGAGUUGCACUCGUCGACGACCUUCGCGAGCACGGAGUUCCCGUUCGCGUUUAUCAUGAUAUUCUUCAGGCACCGGCUCAUCCCGUCGAACCACCCGGUCGACAAUGCGACCACCAUUUCGUCAUCUGGAUGAUACUUGUUGUCGCACUCCGAAGGCCCCCCGCCGUCCCCGCCCUUAGCGAAGCUGUUCAAUGUCAUGGUCGCGGGAGUUUCAGCGGUGACGGGAGGGGAGCAGCGGUACUGUGGGUACUUCUUGCCGUCUUCGCAGCAGUCAGAGUAGUUCUCGCGGUUGCAGUUGCCCACUUGCCGGUCAAGUAGCCGCUGGCGCGGCAGGAUCCGGCGAUGCGGGCAGACGCGGCGAGAUCGGGGUUGGAGACACGAUUAGCAGUAGUAGAGACGCGAAAGCGAGAAGGGAAGUAGCCAUAGUUAAUUUGUUCAGUUAUUCUUGGUGUGGAUUUUUUAACCUAUGCUUAAUUUGAUUUUUGAUAUCAAGCGGCAGGAAGGCUAGGAAUAUAUAGGCCAGAAAAUGCAUAAGCUGUACUUUUCACGGCACUCUGGCCUUUAAAAUUUGUUAACGUGAUGGGCCGGGCCAGGCGCGUGUGCCGUUAAGGUUAUGUAACGUUGAAAACUACUUGCUAACUAAGUUAAUUGGAAGAGAAGUGCUUAGUUUAUAGUUAAAAAGGAAUUGUAAUUUAUAUAAUUCCACAUCAACAAAGCCUUAGAUAUUUACUAAUUCAAUUUUGAUUUUUGGCAAAUUUUCAAUAAAAGAAGAUUAGUGAAGAAAAUUUGGUCUUUCGAAGAGGGUGUUGUUUAAUUAUUAGAGUUUACUAACAAAAGUUAACAUUUGAGGGCAAGGAAGAAAUAUUUUUUGAAAGAGGGCAAGAGAACUACUGAAUAGCAGUCUCUCAGGUAUCGUUUGGUUCGGGGAUAAGCAAAAAGUGACUAUUCAAAAAUAGUUAUAGUAAUUAAAUAUAACGGGGAUUAGAUCAAUUUUAUAGUUUGGAUGAAAAUUAGGCUAUUCCUGGAUUAAAAAAAUAAGCGUUUGGCUAGGUAAGAUGGAAUAGAGAAAGAUAUAGAGUUUUAUAAAUAAAAUAAUAAAAUAUCUUUCUUAUUAAUUUGAAUUUGAAUUUAAAAUUUUAAAUUUUUUAUUAAAUUAAAAUUUAACUUUGAAAUUCAAAAUUUGAAAUUUAAAUCUCAAAUUUAUAAAUAUUAAAUUUCAACAUUAUAAUUUAAGCUCAAUUUAAUUUGAAAUAUAAUUUAAAUUUAAAUUUCAAAAAAUUUAAAAUAUCAAAAUUUAAAUUUAAAAUUAAAAUUAUAAACUUUAAUUUUGAGAUUAUAAAUUAUAAUUUAGAAAAUUAAAUUUGUAAUUUUUAAAAUAGAAUAGGGGUGGGAACAAUUAAUAAAAAUAAUUUAUUAUAAUAAAUUUAUAAUUUUUUUUUAAAAUUAUACUUAAACUUAAAAUUUAAUAAAAAGAAUUUAUUAUAAUAUUUAAAUAUAAUUUAUUAUAAAUUUUAUUAUAAUAUUUAAAUAUAAAUAAUAUGUAUUAAUAUAGUACGAUUAAUAAUUUUAUAAUAAAAAUAUGGGUUAUUUGCAUACACGUCCCUACAAACAUAGCGAAUUGCGAAAAUAUCCCUGCAAAAUGAAAACUCCAUAAGUUGUCCCUGCAAAAGUCCUAAUUUAUGCAGAUAUGUCCCUCUGGUUAACAUCCGUUAGAGAACUGUUUAUUUUUUAACAGUUUUCUUAUGAAAUGACCAUUUUGCCCCCACAAAUAUAUCCCUCCAAAAUAUCGUUCUUUCCCUUCUCUUUCUCUCUCUUUGGGCCGCCGGAGCGGACGACGGCGGCGGCGCGAGAUCGGGUUCGCCGACGACGAAGAAGAGAGAAGAGAAAGAAUGAGAGGAAGAAGAAAAUAGAAGAGGGAGAGAGAGAGUGAGAGGGAGAGGGAGAGGGAAGAGAAAGAUGAAGAGGGAAAGGGUUUGCCGCCGCGCGCCGCCGCUGCAUUUCCUCCCUCGCCAGCGACGAAGAAGAGGGAAGAGAUAGAGGAAGAGGAAGAAGAAGGGCGAAGAGGAAGAGGGAAAGGAAGAGGAAGAGGGAGGGCUCGCGGCCGCAGCCGCAUCUUCUCCCUCCCCGGUGACGAAGAAGAGGGAAAAGGAAGAGGGAGAGGAAGAAAAAAGGGGAAGAGGAAGAGAGAAGAGGAAGAGGAAGAGGAAGAGGAAGAGGGAGAGGGAGAGGAUUUGCCGCGGCCGCCGCUGUCACUGCCGCCGCGGCCGCCGCCCUCGCCGACGACGAAGAAGAGGGAAGAAGAAGAGGAGGAAGAAGAAGAAGGGUAGAACCGUAAAUUCACGUUAUAAUUAACCAUGGUUAAGUAUUUUAACCGUGGUUAAUGAAAAUUUUCUAACAGUCCUUAACGGCAGGGACAUAUCUGCAUAACUUAAGACUUUUGUAGGGACAACUUAUGAAAUUUCCGUUUUGCAGGGAUAUUUCUGCAAUUCACUAUGUUUGCAGGGACGUGUAUGCAAAUAACCCUAAAAAUAAUAUACUAUAAUAUAUAACAUAUUAUAUUUAUAUAAUUUAGUUUUAAUUUAAUUUAUAAUUUUAAUUAAGUUUGAAAUUAAGCAUUGCAAUAGCAUUAUUCCACCAAAAUGGUGGAAUAGCAAAUCCUUUGCUAUUCCGGGAUAACCGGGAAUAGCAAGGUUUGACCGAGAUAAAAUAUCCCGGCCAAAUUUCACCCCGUUUGGCGGAAUAGCGGGGAUAACUUUCGUUAUUCCCGCUUAUCCCCCGAACCAAACGGGGCCGCAGGGUCUGGAUCCUUUGUAUAAAAUUUUUAGGUGAAACCUUUGGUGUCCGAAUCCUAAAAAUUGCUCUAUUACUCGCGUUGUUUCCCCAUCCUUCUUCCGUUUCCUUUCAUCAUCCCUUCCCAUCUCUCCUGUCUUCUCUCUCCCUCUACACCAUCCUCCCCCUUCCCAUCCACUUCUCUCCUUCCUCUCCCUCUACUCCGUCCUCUCUUCCUGUCGCCUCCGCUGCUUUCUCUCCCUCUACUACGUCGACCCUUCCCAUUCUCUCCCCUUAUCCCUCCCCCUCUACUCCCUCCGAUGACGACAAUGACGUUGGCACCAUCGACGCUGCCGCCGCUGCUGACGAGACAUUAAUGACGAUGACACCAAAUUGCCAAUGAUGAUGCUGCUGCCCGGCGAUGCCACUGAUGCUAUUGCUGUCGACGACGGUGACAACGGCACUCUUCCUAACGGUCAUGGUGGCAGGAGAAAUAAUAGAAAGAUGAAAGGAUUGGUGCAGCGGUGAGCGGCAAUGGCGGUGGCAAUAGUGUGCGAUGGUGGUGGAGAUGGAGUAAGGGAAUGAGGAGAAGAAGGAGACGAUCAACGCUGUUGCCUGAGGAGUCGUGGAGAAAGGGAUAGGGAAGGGGAGUCUCUUUGUGCGCAAGGGAUAGGGUGCUAUUUGGAUCUUGAUUGACAUUUUUUUUGUAUUUAAUAAUCAUUAUGGCAUGAACCUUCAUGGUCUUAGCCGGUGAAAAACUCAAGCGAUGAAUGAGUGCCAGGAAGACAAAAUUUGUGAUGUUUUCAAAUUUGUGAUGAAAUUUUUUAUGCUUUGAAAUUUGUGAUAAAGAAGAAGAUUACAGUUUGUGCUUAGUUAUGUUUAAAAUUUGUGGAAUGCUUCAAUACACCAUGUAAAAUAAAUCUAACCGUUCAUAUUUUAAGGGCGAGAUUGACUUUUGCAUAGUGGUUACCUGCUCAACAGGUUACCAUUCGUAAGGAUAAUAUGAAAAAAAAAUACAAACUAAUUACCAAAUUUGAUCAACCUUAUACAAAUAUUUGUUUCCUUGUUUAAUUUUGUUACUUACUAAAUUAGAUAGUGCUAAUUUGAUAAGUAAUAAACCUUUAUAAAUUGAAUUUAAAAUUCAAUUUGAGCUUAAACUUUAUAAUUGUGUACAUUAAAUUCAAAUUUAAUUUUAAUUUUUAUUUUCAGAAUGAAAAAAUUUAUGUUUAAAUGAAUAGUAUAUUUCAAUUCAAAUUGUUAAUUUGAUAUAUUAAAAUGACACGAAAUUUCAAAUAUAUUAAUUUAAUUUAAAUUAUAAAUUAUGCUGUAUUUAUAAACAUAACUUUUAUUUUUUAUUUAAAUUAAAGGCUUUUAUUUUUAAAAUUAAAUUCAAAUUGUUCAUUCGGUAGUAAAAACAACAUUAAAGUUUAAAAAUAUUGAUUAAAAUUAAAUUUUAAAUUUAGAUUUAGUUUAUAUUAUAGUUAAAAAAAUAAAAUUUGUUAACUAUUUAAACUAAAUGAUUCUAAAGCAAAAAAGGAAAAGAGAAGCGGCGAGGAAGAAGAAAUCGCGGCCUACGCAUAGGAAAAUAUCGCGGUCCACGAGGCUACACUCAGCCUCGUGGAUUGUGUGUAGUGAGAGGUCCACGGUGGACCUCUCGCUCCACUCCCCCUUUUUGUGUGUGUGUGUGUGUGUGUAUGUGUGUGUGUGUGUCUAUAUAGAGUGCGGCUAGUAUGCUUAUGGAAGCAUGGAGGCCUUCGUGCUUCCAAUUUGUUUUUGAUGUUGAGACUUUCGAAUCGAUGAUCGGCUCCGUUAGACUUGAUCUAGAGUAUUCGAAAUACCUAGAAAAUAAAUUUUGCGAUUUUUCAAUAUCAUUUUCCUAGUGAUCGAAGGGGCUCAAAAUCAACGGCUGAAAAUAAAAAUCUCACAAAAUGUGAUGAUAUGACAUUAAAAAUUUAGAUCAAAGAUAUUGAUCUUAUUUUAUAUAGUAUAAAGAAUUUUUUAUCAAAAUUUCACGUGAUUUGGAUAUUUCUACACCAUUAAACUUGCAACCGGCUCACCACAGUCAUUAAAAGUAUUGAUUUUGAGCCCCUUUGAUUACUAGGCAAAUGAUAUCAAAAAAUCGCAAAAUUUAUUUUCUAGGUACUUCAAAUACUCUAGAGUCAACUUCUAACGAGCCGAUCGUUCACGAUCUCGAAAGUCGAACAUCGAAAACCCAACUAGAAGCUACGAAGGCUCCGUCUUCAUAAGCAUUACCAGACAAUAUAUAUUAUAUUAUUAAUAUUAAUUAUAUAUAUAUAUAAUAUAUAUAUAUAUAUAUAUAUAUAUAUACUAUACUUAAUUAAGAGAGAGAGAUAGUCAGGAGAGAGAAGAAGAGAGAGAGAAGAAGAGUAAGUCUCUGUACUUUCUGAAGUACGAGGGACUCUCCUCAGUGUACGUUUUUUUCGAUGAUAGGAAUCGAUUUGACGAUGACUUCUGUUAAGUAUACGAUCUAUUCUAUUGAACUAUUUGAACAAAUUUUAUAAUUUUUUGACACAAUUUUACUAAGCGAUAAAAAUAUCUAAAAAAAUGCAUCUUUAAUAGGCGAUGGCACGUUUUUAAGUUAACAGGUGUAGAAGUAUCAAAUUAAUGAAAUUUAAUAAAAUUUCUUACUUAAACAUAAAUAGCAGAAAAACCGCCCCGAAUUUUACUUCCCGAUUUUGAAAUUGAGUCCUUUAAUCACUGUUUUUAUAAAUUUCAUUUUCAGCCAGUUCAUUUUGAGCACUCGUUUAUUUUAUUUAGACAAUCGAAGUAAAAAUUUAUGAAAUUGAUUUCUAGGUAGUAUUCCAACAGUUUAAUCAUAGUCUAAUAGAACCGACUCGCUCCGAAUCCAAUGUCCAAUUAUUGAAAAAACUAUAAGUAGGGAGCUUCCGUACUCUUCGAAAACAUAGGAGCCUAUUCUGCUCAAUCUUCUCUAUAUAAAUAUAAGUAGGUUUGUGUGUAUUAGGGGCAGAGGCCUCCGUGCAUCCUCAACCGUUUACGAUGAAAGCUUCACGAAUCGAACGAUACGAUCGAUAGAACUUGAUCUUAGCGUAUUGAACUACUAGAAAAUGAAUUUUGUGAUUUUUCAUCUUAAGUAUCAUUUUCCUAACUGGAUCAGAAAAGUCAAAAAUCACAAUUUUUAAUGGUUGAUGUAUACCGUUACAGUUAUCGUUAUAGAAUAUUGCAAAUAGAUUGAAAUUUUGAAAUAGAAAUUCUUAUACUAUUUACAUAGCAAGAUCAUAUGUUUAUCGAACAAAUUUAAUGCUAUAAUCAACAUCUUUUUUGUGAGAUUUUAUUUCAGCCGUUGAUUUUUGAACCUUUCGAUCAUGUAAUAAUGAAUCGAAAAGUCCAAAAUUUUUCUAGAUCUUCAACAUGCUAGAAUCACAGUCAACGAGCCGAUUGCGAAUUGAAGGACAUCAUUGAAAACAGCUUAGAGCACAAGAGAGAUCUCCGUGCUCUAAUAGGCAAUUCAAGACUACUCUCAUUCUCUCUCUCGCAGUUGUACUCGCCAGCCCCUGGGUAAGACUGGUGGCAUCGAUGCUAUACUAGAAAAAGAAUGUGCGAUCAUCUCGUCCAUCUCGUCUCUUUCAUCUCUCAUUAUAUAAUAUAUAUAUAUAUAUAUAUAAUAUAAUAUAUUUAUUUUUAUAUUUUGUAUAAAUUUAUAAUAGUUAUGCAUUAUAACAGCAUAAUCUUAAAAAAUAUUUAAUUAAAUAACAAAUUUUUAUUCCGAAUUUUUAAAUGAUAAACGUAAAAUUUUCGUAUAAAUCGCGUGUACGAAUUAUUGACGAAUCUAAUUCAAAUACGAUAAAAAUUCGAUGCGGAUAAAAUACGAAUAAAAUUCGUAUCUUAAUUUUUAAGUUCGUUGAAAAACACGGUUUAAAAAUUAGAUUCGUCAAUAAUUUGUACAUGCGAUUUAUACGAAAAAUUUACGUUUAUCAUUUAAAAAUUUAGAAUAAAAAUUCGUACCUUAAUUCUGCAAUCUCCUUUUUCAUUCCAGGCCACCAAUAGGUUAGCUUCAGAUCUUUGUACAUCUUUGUACUUCCAGGAUGUAGAGCAUAUGGCGCUCGAUGUGCUUCAGUAAGAAUUUCUUCUUUAAGGUUUGAAUCUGUAGGUACGCAUAGCCUAUUGCCGUAUCUCAAUAAUCCUUGAUUAUCCAUUUGAAAUUCACCAACGUACUCAUCAGUAAUCUUUGCACGAAUCCUUUAUAAAAAUUCAUCUUGAACUUGCUUUUCUCCAAUUUUAUCAAUUAAGGUAGGUUGUACAAUUAAUGACAUAAGUCGCCAAGGCGUGUCAGGAGUUACAACUUCCAGAUUCAACUGUUCCAUUUCCUUUACUAAAGGAGAUUGCGAGGUUAUUAACAUCGCCAAAUUUUUCGUCGAUUUUCGACUUAAAGCGUCUGCUACUACAUUGGCUUUCUCCGGGUGAUAAAGAAUAGUCAAAUCAUAAUUCUUGAACAACUCCAACCAUCUACGUUGUCUCAAGUUUAGCUCUUUCUUAGUAAACAGAUACUUCAAGCUUUUAUGAUCUGUGUAAACCUCGCACCGCCCACCGUAUAGGUAGUGACGCCAUAGGUUUAAAGCAAAGACUACUACUGCUAAUUCCAGAUCAUGUGUAGGGUAAUUCUUUUCAUAAUUCUUUAAUUGACGAGAUGCAUAAGUGAUUACCUUUUCAUUUUGCAUUAGAACACACCCUAAUCCAUUCAGAGAUGCAUCACUAUAAAUCACAUAAUCCACCCCAGUUAUUGGUAAUGCCAAGAUUGGAGCAGUAGUCAAUCGUUCCCUCAGUUCCUGGAAGCUUCUUUCGCAAACCUCAUUCCAUAAAAAUUUCGCCCCUUUAUGUGUAAGUCGAGUAAGCAGAGUAGACAUUUUAGCAAAUCCCUCCACAAAUCUUCAGUAGUACCCAGCUAGACCCAGAAAACUCCGAAUCUCGGCUACGCUGGUCGGUCUAGGCCAAUCUUUUAUUGCUUCGAUCUUCUUUGGAUCCACUGCAAUUCCAACUUCAGAAAUCACAUGUCCCAGAAAUGCUACUUCUUGAAGCCAAAAUUCACAUUUCUUUAAUUUCGCAAAAAGUUUCUUUUCCCGAAGAACUUGCAGUACCAAUCUCAGAUGGUUUUCAUGCUCCCCGUUACUUCGAGAAUAAAUCAAAAUAUCAUCAAUGAACACUACUACAAACCUGUCCAGAUAAGGCUUGAAAACACGGUUCAUUAAAUCCAUAAAAGUUGCCGGGGAAUUCGUUAAUCCAAAUGGCAUAACUGUAAAUUCAUAAUGCCCGUACCGAGUUCUAAAAGCAGUUUUAGAAAUGUCUUCAGGUUUAAUUUUCAAUUGAUGAUAUCCAGAUUGCAGAUCAAUCUUGGAAUACACUUUCGAUCCUUGGAGUUGGUCAAAUAAAUCGUCAUGCAAUUCGUGGUAGUGGGUACUUAUUCUUGAUGGUGACUUUGUUAAUUUUUCGAUAAUCCACGCACAAUCGCAGAGAUCCAUCCUUCUUCUUAACAAACAACACUGGUGCUCCCCAGGGCGAUACACUCUGUCGAAUAAAACCUUUAUCCAAAAGAUCCUGUAACUACGCCUUCAGCUCCUUCAACUUAGCAGGCGCCAUCCUAUACGAGGCUUUUGAGAUUGGGGUAGUUCCAGGAACAAGAUCUACCACAAACUCAACUUCCCUAUCAGGCGGUAUUCCAGGUAAUUCAGCCGGAAAUACAUCACGAAAUUCCCGCACUACUGGGAUGUCAUCAAUACUAGCAACUUCUCCGUCACUGACAGAAAUAUUAGCCAAAUAGGCUACACAACCCCUCCGUAUCAACUGUUGUGCUCGCGAAGAACUGAUUGUCAUUGCGAACAAUGAACUUUGACAUCCUCUGUAAACAAACUCCUGCUGACCCGAUUCCCUAAAGGUUACCAUUCUGUUCGUGCAAUCAAUAGUAGCAUAGUACUGUGUCAACCAAUCCAUAUCCAAUACUACAUCAAACUCACCUAGUUUGUAUAGUGCUAAUAAAUCCACUGGCAUAAUCCAGUCGCCUAUCCGAACUGGGCAGCGAGGGCAAUACUCACGAAUAUCCAAGGUAUGGUCGGGCACGAUCACUUGUCCCGGGUGCAAAGUAGUUACCAACAAAAUGCUAUGUAACUCAGCAAACAAUCGAUCAAUAAAAGAGUGCGAUGCACCAGUAUCAAAUAAUGCACGAACAUGAACAUUAUGAAUCGAAAUAAUAUCUGACACAACCUCCCCUGCUGCUGGGGCCUCCUUAGUCUGGGCAGCAUACAUACGCCCACUCGAACCCUGCCGAGAACUCUCAAACUACCGCGGUCCAGGUGGUCGUCUCGACUGAUACGGUACUGAUGGAGUCCCCUGACUCGGAGCAGAAGAUGCAGGUGCCGAUACUGAUGACGGUGCUGGUGUAGAAGCCCUCGGGCACUCAGAACGAAAAUGGCCCUCCUGGCCACAAAUGAAGCACCUGCCACUACAUUGAGGACACUGCGGUGGAAAAUGGGGGCCACUGCAGAUCACACAAUGCUGCGGUCGACGACGCUCUGGUGCUCUGCGGGGUGUAAAAGAACCUCGCCCCCUCGACUGACUCGGCAGGCCUCUCGUGUACUUUAGCGGCCUCCGGAAAGAUUGUUGUCCACUGUUCUCAGUCCUUGGCCUCUUUCCUUUACUUCGAUCCACAACUUCCCUUUCUUUCAUAAUCUCUACCCCCUUCUCAGCAAUCAAUGCCCGGUUUACCACCUCUCUAUAAGUCGAUAGAUUUGACGCCUGAACUAAUCUGAAGAUCGCAGGUCGCAAACCCACCUAAAAAAUACGGGCCUUAUCCUCAUCAUCUCGAACCACAAAAGGGACACAAUGCAAUAAUCGAGAAAACUCCCGCUCAUACUCAGCUACUGUCCUAUCCCCCUGCCUCAGAUUGCGCAGAUUCCUCUCCAUCUGUCUCUUCACACUCUAUGGAAAGUAGGUUGUUAACAGCAACUCCUUAAACCUCUUUCAAGUGAUCACAGAUAAAUCAGUACGGGGAUCCUCACGGAUAUCCAACUACCACCUGUAAGCCUCACCAUCCAGAUGGUGGGUCGCAAACCACACUUGGUCGCGCUCCUCGACGAAAGUAUCAUAGAAUAGCUUCUCCAUAUACAUCAGCCAUUUCUCAACUACCCAAUGAUCUGCCUUUUCCCCAUCGAAAACACGAGGAUUGUAACGAGGGAAUUCAUUGAGACGUUCCAUCAUCUGUUCUCGCUCCUCAGCCCCCACCAUCUCAGGUAAUAUUGCCCCUGCCAUAGCCACGGGCGCUGGGGGUAGUACCACUGUCUCCUGUCGGGUCUCCACCCGCGGAACUGCCGGUGAGGUGUCUGGUGCUGGUGACUGUGCUCUCAUAGUCGUAUCCCUCUCUGGUACUGCUGGCGUAGGAUCUAGAAUCUCUCUAUCUGUUGUCUGCCGCAGUAGCAAAUCCUCUAACCUCUUCAUUCUCUCCUCCUGUCGGCGCGCGGCAUCCAUCUGUUGUCGCGCUGCUGCAGCCUGUUGUGUCACUAAAUCUGUUAACACUGCAAGCUGGUCCUGCAGCUCCCAAACCUCACUCGAUCCGGAAGUAGCGGAAGUCCCCACUUCCUCUGCAUCAGCGGCUUCAGCCGCUCCAGCAACCAUAGAACAAGUCGUAGGCAUCUUAAACUGCAACAAAAGUAAACAUGGAUUAAUAAAACUUACACUAUUGAACCCCCACUUCUUAUAUUAAACACCCAUUUAAGCGAAAGUAAUGAAAUGUAAUACACACUAACUCCCGAUGUCACGUUGUCGGCCACCAACGUGGCCUUCUGCGAAGUUUAGUAAUUGCACAUUUCAAUCAAACUCCUACCAUUCGGAGUUUAUAAAUUACCCCAAUCAAAAUACUUUUCCUAAAAAGAAACUUAACUAGACCUCGUCCCUCACGAGCCUAUUCUUAUAGUCCAACCAGCCUAAGGUUCGCUAGGUCCACUAAGACUCAACCCUAAGCUCUAAUACCACUAUAAUUUGUCACGCCUGGGUAACAGCGGAAGCCUACCCGGCACAUGUACAGACCCGCCAUACACCUACAGUAUAUAAGGCGUCUAAAAGAAACAUAUCGGAAAAGAGAAAACAUAAGAGAAUCUUAACCCGAUAUCAGAGCAAAGUAUAAGUUGCUAGUACAACAAUCAGAAAACAGUAAGUAUAACUAACUCAGAUUCUCAAAUUCACAGAAAACAUCGAAACUGAACUCCAGAUUCAAAGUACAAAUAUAUCACAGGGUACACAAAAUGUAUAUACAAUGGUAGUCUCUCUAUCCAUGGGGACAUCACCCUCGGCCGUAGCCCGAGUAGCAAGGUGAUCAUCUAGUCACACUCCAAGCUAGAUCUAACUAGACGAGACUCCCUUGCCACGAUCCCUAGCCUCUCCGCGUGUACGUAUAAACCGUGUUUUCCAAUUCCUCAGAUUUUGUUCUCUUCUUUUUUUUCUUUUUCUUUUUUUUGACUGAGAGAAAUAAAAAAAAAACUCUUUUUUUUUUGUUCUUUUCUUUUCUUUUCUUUUCUUUUCUUUUUUUUUGUUGAUUCUUUUUUUCUCCUGUUUGUUUUCUUCUUCUUUUUUUUGACUUCCGAGAGAGAGAGUCCGUGUGUAUGCGAAACCGAGAGAGAGGGAGAGUUGGUACCCAACAACUCUUUUUUUUUUGUNUGUUCUCUUCUUUUUUUUCUUUUUCUUUUUUUUGAGAGAGAGAAAUUUGGGAAAAACUCAACUUCUUCUUUUCUUUUUUUUUCUUUUUUUUCUUUUUUUUUUUGUUUGCUGUUGAUUUUUUUCUCCUGUUUGUUUUCUUCUUCUUUUUUUUGACUUCCGAGAGAGAGAGUCCGUGUGUAUGCGAAACCGAGAGAGAGGGAGAGUUGGUACCCAACAACUCUUUUUUUUUUGUUUCCUUCUUUUCUUUCUUCUCUUUUCUUUUCUUCUUGCUUUUUUUGUUGACUGUCGGAGGGGGAGAGAGAAUAACUCCUUUUUUUUAAUUAUUUUUAUAUUCAUCUCUCUUUUUUUUUAGUCCAAAUAUACGAAAUUGAUCACGUCGAGUAAUACGAUUGAAUCGAACAAAAAUGACGAAUCAAAAUAGAACCUGUCCAUUUUUUUUAUUGUCAUGUUUUGUUCAAAUACGUGGAGUUUAAUUGUGUCGAGCCUAUCAUGAAGAUGGCCGCUCGAUUAAUCUUUUCGACCAUGUCGAGCCUAUCACGAAGAUGGCCGCACGGUUUACGUAAUCCGGUUCGAUCAAUUAUUUUGACCAUGUCGAGCCUAUCACGAAGAUGGCCGCACGGUUCACGCUUUCGACCAUGUCGAGUCUAUCACGAAGAUGGCCGCACGGUUUACGUAAUAAAACGUCCGGUUCGAUCAAUCAUUUUGACCAUGUCGAGCCUAUCACGAAGAUGACCGCACGGUUUGGAGAGUAACAAUACAUACGCAUGGCGGAAGUGACGAUUUGAUAUCAGAUUUGAUCGGUUCGAAACCUAUCACGAAGAUGGUCGAGUUGAUCAAACCAACAAAAAGAUCGCAUUUACGCUAUGCGUAUGCUUGCGUAUUUCCUAUUAUUAUAAAAAUCGUUGCGAUUGUCGA
RNAcentral lists this long non-coding RNA (44071 nucleotides) under Ananas comosus (pineapple). Its description in RNAcentral is "long non-coding RNA (ACOM_LNC011840)". The record is from RNAcentral. Lineage: Eukaryota; Viridiplantae; Streptophyta; Magnoliopsida; Poales; Bromeliaceae.